GGUUUUUAAGUGUGAAUUUUCAUGGAGAGUUUGGAACACUUGAGCAGGCUACAUAUUCCAACUACACCAUAAAGGCAAACCAUUUCUUAAAGAUGACAUCCCAGGGUAUUUCAAAAGGCAUAUUUUGUACCUUAGCCUGAGAUAAGCUUUCUUCUAGCUUGUACUAAGUGUAGUGGUAACAAGCAUUUGUACUGCCUUUUUGACACACAAAGUGAGUUUGCACAGUAUAUUUUGCAAACCUUAUGUGUGCUAAGACUGUAUAAUACUUCAU
This is a non-coding RNA of Pelobates cultripes (western spadefoot toad), 271 nucleotides long. The record is from the annotation of a GenBank genome assembly. NCBI's taxonomy places the organism in Eukaryota, Metazoa, Chordata, Amphibia, Anura, Pelobatidae.